GACGAACGCUGGCGGCGUGCUUAACACAUGCAAGUCGAACGAUGAAGCCUAGCUUGCUAGGUGGAUUAGUGGCGAACGGGUGAGUAAUACGUGAGUAACCUACCUUUAACUCUGGGAUAAGCCUGGGAAACUGGGUCUAAUACCGGAUACGACCAAUCUCCGCAUGGGGUGUUGGUGGAAAGCGUUAUGUAGUGGUUAUAGAUGGGCUCACGGCCUAUCAGCUUGUUGGUGAGGUAACGGCUCACCAAGGCGACGACGGGUAGCCGGCCUGAGAGGGUGACCGGCCACACUGGGACUGAGACACGGCCCAGACUCCUACGGGAGGCAGCAGUGGGGAAUAUUGCACAAUGGGCGCAAGCCUGAUGCAGCGACGCCGCGUGAGGGAUGACGGCCUUCGGGUUGUAAACCUCUGUUAGCAGGGAAGAAGAGAGAUUGACGGUACCUGCAGAGAAAGCGCCGGCUAACUACGUGCCAGCAGCCGCGGUAAUACGUAGGGCGCGAGCGUUGUCCGGAAUUAUUGGGCGUAAAGAGCUUGUAGGCGGUUUGUCGCGUCUGCUGUGAAGGCCGGGGCUUAACUCCGUGUAUUGCAGUGGGUACGGGCAGACUAGAGUGCAGUAGGGGAGACUGGAAUUCCUGGUGUAGCGGUGGAAUGCGCAGAUAUCAGGAGGAACACCGAUGGCGAAGGCAGGUCUCUGGGCUGUAACUGACGCUGAGAAGCGAAAGCAUGGGGAGCGAACAGGAUUAGAUACCCUGGUAGUCCAUGCCGUAAACGUUGGGCACUAGGUGUGGGGAACAUUCCACGUUUUCCGCGCCGUAGCUAACGCAUUAAGUGCCCCGCCUGGGGAGUACGGCCGCAAGGCUAAAACUCAAAGAAAUUGACGGGGGCCCGCACAAGCGGCGGAGCAUGCGGAUUAAUUCGAUGCAACGCGAAGAACCUUACCAAGGCUUGACAUAUACUGGACCGCAUCAGAGAUGGUGUUUCCCUUCGGGGCUGGUAUACAGGUGGUGCAUGGUUGUCGUCAGCUCGUGUCGUGAGAUGUUGGGUUAAGUCCCGCAACGAGCGCAACCCUCGUUCUAUGUUGCCAGCACGUAAUGGUGGGGACUCAUAGGAGACUGCCGGGGUCAACUCGGAGGAAGGUGGGGAUGACGUCAAAUCAUCAUGCCCCUUAUGUCUUGGGCUUCACGCAUGCUACAAUGGCCGGUACAGAGGGUUGCGAUACUGUGAGGUGGAGCUAAUCCCUAAAAGCCGGUCUCAGUUCGGAUUGGGGUCUGCAACUCGACCCCAUGAAGUCGGAGUCGCUAGUAAUCGCAGAUCAGCAACGCUGCGGUGAAUACGUUCCCGGGCCU
This 1347-nucleotide ribosomal RNA is filed under the name uncultured bacterium. RNAcentral's name for it is "bacterial SSU rRNA". It matches the Rfam family "Bacterial small subunit ribosomal RNA", at positions 28 to 1381 of the family's 1533-position model. The record is from RNAcentral.